This 72-nucleotide transfer RNA is filed under the name Caudoviricetes sp. RNAcentral describes it as "tRNA-Thr". It matches the Rfam family "tRNA". Rfam says of the family: Transfer RNA (tRNA) molecules are approximately 80 nucleotides in length. Their secondary structure includes four short double-helical elements and three loops (D, anti-codon, and T loops). Further hydrogen bonds mediate the characteristic L-shaped molecular structure. tRNAs have two regions of fundamental functional importance: the anti-codon, which is responsible for specific mRNA codon recognition, and the 3' end, to which the tRNAs corresponding amino acid is attached (by aminoacyl-tRNA synthetases). tRNAs cope with the degeneracy of the genetic code in two manners: having more than one tRNA (with a specific anti-codon) for a particular amino acid; and 'wobble' base-pairing, i.e. permitting non-standard base-pairing at the 3rd anti-codon position. The record is from RNAcentral. Lineage: Duplodnaviria; Heunggongvirae; Uroviricota; Caudoviricetes.
GCCCUAAUAGUAUAGUGGUCAUUACAAGGCUCUUGUAAAGCUUAAACCUUAGUUCGAUUCUAAGUUGGGGCA